Molecule: ribosomal RNA, 432 nt
Filed under: uncultured bacterium
Lineage: Bacteria
Description: partial 16S ribosomal RNA
Rfam family: Bacterial small subunit ribosomal RNA
Source: RNAcentral
ACGCACGCUGGCGGCAUGCCUAACACAUGCAAGUCGCACGAGACCUUCGGGUCUAGUGGCGCACGGGUGCGUAACGCGUGGGAAUCUGCCCUUGGGUUCGGAAUAACUCGCCGAAAGGCGUGCUAAUACCGGAUGAUGACGUAAGUCCAAAGAUUUAUCGCCCAAGGAUGAGCCCGCGUUGGAUUAGCUAGUUGGUGAGGUAAAGGCUCACCAAGGCGACGAUCCAUAGCUGGUCUGAGAGGAUGAUCAGCCACACUGGGACUGAGACACGGCCCAGACUCCUACGGGAGGCAGCAGUGGGGAAUAUUGGACAAUGGGCGAAAGCCUGAUCCAGCAAUGCCGCGUGAGUGAUGAAGGCCUUAGGGUUGUAAAGCUCUUUUACCCGGGAUGAUAAUGACCGUACCGGGAGAAUAAGCUCCGGCUAACUCCGUG